This 468-nucleotide ribosomal RNA is filed under the name uncultured bacterium. Its description in RNAcentral is "partial 16S ribosomal RNA". It matches the Rfam family "Bacterial small subunit ribosomal RNA", at positions 29 to 523 of the family's 1533-position model. The record is from RNAcentral.
AAUGAACGCUGGCGGCGUGCCUAACACAUGCAAGUCGAGCGAUCUUCUUCGGAAGAGAGCGGCGGACGGGUGAGUAACGCGUGGGUAACCUGCCCUAUACACACGGAUAACAUACCGAAAGGUAUGCUAAUACGAGAUAAUAUGCUUUUGUCGCAUGGCAGAAGUAUCAAAGCUCCGGCGGUAUAGGAUGGACCCGCGUCUGAUUAGCUAGUUGGUAAGGUAACGGCUUACCAAGGCGACGAUCAGUAGCCGACCUGAGAGGGUGAUCGGCCACAUUGGAACUGAGACACGGUCCAAACUCCUACGGGAGGCAGCAGUGGGGAAUAUUGCACAAUGGGCGAAAGCCUGAUGCAGCAACGCCGCGUGAGCGAUGAAGGCCUUCGGGUCGUAAAGCUCUGUCCUCAAGGAAGAUAAUGACGGUACUUGAGGAGGAAGCCCCGGCUAACUACGUGCCAGCCGCCGCCGUAA